CACUGAUUCAGUGGUUGGUUUUAUACAGUGGUUUUAUAUGGUUUUAUAUCGAGGUUGUUCAGUAAAUUCAAUAAAGUAAAAACUUAUUUCAAAAGGUAAGUAUUCAAUCAACAAAGUAAAAAUAAAAACGUUUGUAUAAAUUUAACAAUAUAAUAAAAUCGUGAGACCCCUAAUUUGGCAACUAUGUUGAUUCAUUCACGGUCAUUUGAGUAUUUGACAAGCUUUUCUUGACACCCUUUGGCUCGAGGUAUUUUUGGUACAAAGUGGUCACUGGUCACCAGUAUGUCGCUAUCCAGUUGGUAAAUACAGCAGGCUUGAAUCUAGCUGACACAUUUUGGUGGGAAGUGAACCCAACAUUAAACAUUUCAUGGUUUUUAGUGCACAAACUUGCAUUAGGCAAAUAUUAAGUCUAAGGCGUAAAAAAAAAUACCUGUGGUUCCGGUUUCAUAUCGUGAAAAAAUUAGGGUCGGUAGGUCGGAAAUAAAUUUUUUUUUUUAAUAUUUUUUUCAUGGUUUUGGCGGUUUUCUGCUGGGCGAUUUGCAGUAGAGUCCCGACAUCAAUAUUAACUAGAGAUGCGUAUUUCCUAUGGACGAAUUUAGGCAAUUUGGUUCAAUAAUUAGUGUGACAACAGACGCCAUUUUGGCACGCUGUAUGAGCAGCCCGCAACCACCUGGAGAAAAUAGGGUCGCACGGUCAAUCGCGUUGAAAAAAAAAUAGGGUCGGCAGAAAAAAAAUAGGGUCGGUUGGGAACCGGAACCACAGGUAUUUUUUUUUUAUGCCUAAUACACAGUGCAUUAAGCACUAGUCAAUUGAAACCCCAACCCCUGGGACAGAGCGGGGAAUUAACGGGGACAGGGCCGUGGAUUAAUGCGUAUUUAAUGUAGCCUUUCCCCUCCAGGUGAUCUCGUGUUCGUAUUUUAGCCAAUCAGCGUUCAGAAAGGGUUGUCCGAAUAGAAAUCCAUUUUGAUGUACUCAGUCAAUUAUAUCUUUCGUUAUUCUUUAUGAAACUAGUUGAAAUUUUGUAAUUAUGUUUGCUCAUGAGAACUAUAGCUCUGACAAAAAUAUGGAAUCAAAAUAAAGUAUAUUACAGGAGAUAUUCAGUUGUUUUAAUCAUAAAAUGGAUUUCUAUUUGACAACUAAUGCCAGUACUUUUCCGCGUAUCAAGAUCAUCUGGCUGGGAUACAGGGUAAAUAACGAAUCUAUAAUUCAAGAGGAUUAUGUAACCAGGACUUUAACGCUCAGCUGGAACAAAAGUGGACUGAAAUGAGUUUAUCCUCAUUGGGAACAUGGCGAUACUGUAUCAUUGAUAAAGUUUGAGACACUGUAUCUUAGGCCAUGUAAAAAAAUAUCCCGGUUUAGGCGUAAAAAAAUACCUGUGGUUCUGGUCCCUGACCGACCCUAUUUUUUUCUGCCGACCCUACUAUUUUUUCAACGUGAUUGACCGUGCGACCCUAUUUUCUCUGGGUGGUUGCGGGCUGCUGCCAAAAUGGCGUCUGUUGUCACACUAAUUGGAUCAUUCCAGAAAACAUCCAUACCACCCCCACAGAGGAAAUUGGAUGUUAACACCCCUACCCCCUUUGGAUGUCCUAAUACAUUUCCUCUUAUCAGAAACAAUUUUUUCUCCCCUCCCCCUCCGGACGGCAGAAAUUUCCUCCGUGGGGGGAAUGUGGAUCUUUUCUGGAAUGACCCAUUAUUGAAAAAACCAUGACCUAACGACCCUAAUUUUUUCGCGAUAUGAAACCGGAACCACAGGUAUUUUUUUACGCCUUAUCAUCAGUGGCAGGAGAAAAAACCAAUGCGGACAGGCAAAUUUUUUUAAAAAUUUUUACCAAAUUUAGUAGGUGCACGGAAAAAAUAUGCUCAAACAUGCAGCACAGUUGUAUGGUAUAAUACUUUCAAUGCUAUUACACUUUUCAUUAAUAUUACAAUUGCCAAGGCCCAAGUAAGCACAAUAUCAUGACACAUUGUCAAUAUGAAAUCCUGUUUUGAAAAUGGCCGACCAUUGUGAAAAUCUCACAUGGGUUCCUUGCAUGGUCCGCCAGAAAUAGUGAUUUUUUAAAAAUGAAAAAUAAAAAUUCCAUGUGGCACGGAAAAUGGAUGCGGGCGCUGAUGAUAAACCUGGAUAUUUUUUUUACAUGGCCUUAAUUCAUCACAACGAAAGAUAUGGUGCCCUGUACGUUUAACCAUAAUUAUUUGCAGUAUAAACAUGUUUUGUACAAUUACCAGAAAAUAUAUAGGGCUUUUAUUUGAGCUAAAUUAAUUAUUUUAAGUAAACUGAUUUCAGGUCACCAUUUUUCUUGGCAUCAUGCCAGUGCUUUGCUUUUAUAUAGUCCUUUUUACAUGCAUGUAAUGAUGUAUGCUAUAUAUAUAUAUAUAUAUAUAUAUAUAUAUAUAUAUAUAUAUAUAUAUAUAUAUAUAUAUAUAUAUAUAUAUAUAUAUAUAUAUAUAUAGCGGUUUUUGAGUUGUUUUCAGAUGAGUGUAUGCCAAACCGGGCAAGCAGCAUCCCAGCCGCGGUCAAGUAGAAUUUUCUGCUUGCCCGGUUUGGCAUACACUCGUCUGAAAACAACUCAAAAACCGCUACAUAACAUUACACGAGUGGAAUCGUAAACGUGGGAAACCACAAUAUAUAUAAUAUAUAAUUUUAUCUUGAUUUUCUUAACAUCGAUACAGCACAAAAUUAAACACAACAGAUUAUAUUUCUUUCAAACCUUUGUAUGCCCCGAAGGAAAUCUUCAUUCUUGAAGAAAUCUCUGAAUUUAAAAUUAUUGUGUUGUUUAAUGCAUGCAUGCUAAUUAUCAAUUAACCAAUGAAAUACCUUCAUUUGUCAUAUAUUAUUCAAAUAAAGCACUGUCCAAUCAGAGGCCUUUCCACAAAUCUGGGAAAAAUCCACGUUACCAGAACAAGGAAUCUUCAUCCAACUCACAGACGUUCUCUCGCGCGCUUCGUCGAGAGUAACGUCUGUACACAGGCUACCAUUAGUAUAAUUAUAUAGAAAACAUUUGUUAAUGGUAAAUUUAGCUAAAUACAGCUCAUCCCCACCCUCUCACACCCCUGGAGUCAUACAAUCCUCAUUAUGCUCGACCCAAAUAUUCUAUUACCGUUUUGCUAAGGUUGUAUUUGGGUACCGGUAGAUGUUUUAGUCAUGUGUUACAUGAGAAAAUUAUUGUUGACGAAACUUACUUGUUCUUGACUUGUAUGUUUAAUUUUUUUGCAGCAAUUCUGCCUACAUUUCUAUGUGAAGUAUGGUAAAGAUGAAAGCUAUGUUGUCCCUAACAUUUCAUGGAUGUUGUGCAGUCUUUCAUUUGUACGUUCUACACUGGUUAAUGUUCACAAUUGGUCUUAAAAUUUUGGAAAUGGCAAGUUUUUUCACUGUCUGGACCACUGUGUUUCAUCUAGUAAUGUUCCUCGCCUUAGUAGCUCAUGAUGUUGGAAAAAUAUUUGAUAACCAGGCAACAAAACAUGGGGACAGUUCCACGAGGAUGUUACAUAUUGUUCUAAAUAAUGAAGGUUUUCUUGGAUUAUUUAUUCAUUUAGCCAUCGUGAUGAGCUCAUUUACUCAAUUUGCAUUUUGGUUAUUGUUUUAUAUUGAUCGUGAAAUGAUUCUCCCAGAGACAGCGGGCAUGCCAUCAUCUCUCAACCAUAUGCUACAUACAUUUCCAUUAUUUUUAGCCUUGGUUGCGGCUAAUGUUUUCGCCAGUAACUUUCCAAAUGCAAAAGAAGAAAGAAAUUGUAAAACCAUUGCCCAUACUGGUAUUAAGUUUGUUGGUUUUGUUGCUUUUGUAUAUUUGACUUUCAUAUGGAUUGUGUUUGAAUUGAAAGGUGUAUGGCCAUAUCCUUUCAUGUUCUCAUUUAGCAGAUUAGAUUAUUUUAUUUUUAGUUUAUGUUCUUUCCUUGUUUCUUUCAUCUUGUGCUAUUUAUGUUCUUUUCUUGAAACAAAAAUUAAAAAUGUUACAAUUUUGUAACCAAAACGUUUAUGCCUUUUGUGCACAGUACACAGUGUGUGUAUAUUUUAUAUAAACCGACAUAGAAUAUUCUUUCAGCACGUGUUUGCCUCUUCAGGUUAUAUACAUUUAUAUAUGCUAUCUAGUUUAUGCUGCAUGUACACGAUGUGCUGUUUGUUUCGAGAAAAAGGGAAAUACAUUGCUUCGGUAUCGUCUCUUUUUUAAAAAUCUCACAGCAAUAUCCAGUGCCAACUAUAUUAGCUUCUGAUUUACUGAGCGUGCAUCGC
Paramuricea clavata is the source of this 4228-nucleotide non-coding RNA. NCBI's taxonomy places the organism in Eukaryota, Metazoa, Cnidaria, Anthozoa, Malacalcyonacea, Plexauridae. The record is from the annotation of a GenBank genome assembly.